CAGGGAAGAAGCGAAAGUGACGGUACCUGCAGAAGAAGCGCCGGCUAACUACGUGCCAGCAGCCGCGGUAAUACGUAGGGCGCGAGCGUUGUCCGGAAUUAUUGGGCGUAAAGAGCUCGUAGGCGGCUUGUCACGUCGGUUGUGAAAGCCCGGGGCUUAACCCCGGGUCUGCAGUCGAUACGGGCAGGCUAGAGUUCGGUAGGGGAGAUCGGAAUUCCUGGUGUAGCGGUGAAAUGCGCAGAUAUCAGGAGGAACACCGGUGGCGAAGGCGGAUCUCUGGGCCGAUACUGACGCUGAGGAGCGAAAGCGUGGGGAGCGAACAGGAUUAGAUACCCUGGUAGUCCACGCCGUAAACGGUGGGCACUAGGUGUGGGCAACAUUCCACGUUGUCCGUGCCGCAGCUAACGCAUUAAGUGCCCCGCCUGGGGAGUACGGCCGCAAGGCUAAAACUCAAAGGAAUUGACGG
RNAcentral lists this ribosomal RNA (466 nucleotides) under Streptomyces tibetensis. RNAcentral describes it as "bacterial SSU rRNA". It matches the Rfam family "Bacterial small subunit ribosomal RNA", at positions 440 to 916 of the family's 1533-position model. The record is from RNAcentral. Lineage: Bacteria; Bacillati; Actinomycetota; Actinomycetes; Kitasatosporales; Streptomycetaceae.